Molecule: long non-coding RNA, 721 nt
Organism: Lepisosteus oculatus (spotted gar)
Lineage: Eukaryota; Metazoa; Chordata; Actinopteri; Semionotiformes; Lepisosteidae
Source: RefSeq, a predicted model, not a curated record
CACACACACACAGUGAGUAGGGCGGUUGAAAGGAAGGAAACACUCUGGUACUGAACCCAUAGUUGUCACGACCGUAAAUCCCUCCUCUUAAGGGCAUUCCGGCUCUUUCCCGUUUUGCUUGAUUUUCCUGCACCUGCCUCCUGUUCCAGCCCUUCCCUUUAAAAGCCAGAUGCUCCUACCAGUAUGAGGCCUUCAUUGGAAGAUGGACGACCGGAAGCCCAAGUGCAGCAGGAGGAUGCAAUGCAACACAACGUGCUAGGAUUACAACCUCCAACACCAGCACAUUGUUUUCUUGCUGUGGCUGGCUUUUUCUCCUGACUGGAGUCCAGCAAAACAGCUGUGUGACCAAUGUGCCAGCACCAUCAGUGGGAGACCAUUGUGGUUUUUCCACUGUACUCCAGCUGGAUACAGCUGGACAGAAACAUCUCACAGCAGUCUACCCACGGGCUGAUCAGGUCUGAGCGUCUGUCUCAUAUCCAAUCUUAAUUUGUAAUGUUUAAGAUAUUUGGUUAAAUGCAUUAGACCUUAGUGUUGCAUGUCUUUUGUACAUCAAUGUACUGUACAGUAUGUGCAAGUAUGUGGAAAAUAAACAUUUCAUUUAAUCCAGUUUAUGGUAAUAUAAUGCUGAUAAAACAGUUGAGAUAACACAGACAAUAAUGUAACCAUAUACUCUUACUUUUACAUGUUUGUAUUGUUCUUCUCAUAAUUCCAUGAUCAAUAA